GGUUACAUUGCAGGAAGAGAAAUUGGGAAGAGCAGUCAGUCUUGGUGAGGUGUUCAUCCAGACACAUACUAAGUCGGAUGGUACUUAUGUUGAUCGGAAGGCGGAGAAGAUUGCUCUAAUUU
RNAcentral lists this small RNA (122 nucleotides) under Arabidopsis thaliana (thale cress). RNAcentral's name for it is "ATSL276960". Lineage: Eukaryota; Viridiplantae; Streptophyta; Magnoliopsida; Brassicales; Brassicaceae. The record is from RNAcentral.